GCCCCGGUAGUCCAACGGCAGAGACAAUGCUCUCAAACAGCAUGCAGUGUGGGUUCGAAUCCCACCCGGGGUACCA
Molecule: transfer RNA, 76 nt
Filed under: Actinomycetota bacterium
Lineage: Bacteria; Bacillati; Actinomycetota
Description: tRNA-Leu
Rfam family: tRNA
About the family: Transfer RNA (tRNA) molecules are approximately 80 nucleotides in length. Their secondary structure includes four short double-helical elements and three loops (D, anti-codon, and T loops). Further hydrogen bonds mediate the characteristic L-shaped molecular structure. tRNAs have two regions of fundamental functional importance: the anti-codon, which is responsible for specific mRNA codon recognition, and the 3' end, to which the tRNAs corresponding amino acid is attached (by aminoacyl-tRNA synthetases). tRNAs cope with the degeneracy of the genetic code in two manners: having more than one tRNA (with a specific anti-codon) for a particular amino acid; and 'wobble' base-pairing, i.e. permitting non-standard base-pairing at the 3rd anti-codon position.
Source: RNAcentral